GCACCGGCUACUCCGUGCCAGCAGCCGCGGUAAUACGGAGGGUGCGAGCGUUAAUCGGAAUUACUGGGCGUAAAGAGUGCGUAGGUGGUUGAAUAAGUUAUCUGUGAAAUCCCUGGGCUUAACCUGGGAGGGUCAGAUAAUACUGCUCAACUCGAGUAUGGGAGAGGGUAGUGGAAUUUCCGGUGUAGCGGUGAAAUGCGUAGAGAUCGGAAGGAACACCAGUGGCGAAGGCGGCUACCUGGCUCGAUACUGACACUGAGGCACGAAAGCGUGGGGAGCAAACAGGAUUAGAUACCCUGGUAGUCCACGCUGUAAACGAUGUCA
This 324-nucleotide ribosomal RNA is filed under the name uncultured Legionella sp. RNAcentral's name for it is "bacterial SSU rRNA". It matches the Rfam family "Bacterial small subunit ribosomal RNA", at positions 490 to 814 of the family's 1533-position model. The record is from RNAcentral. Lineage: Bacteria; Pseudomonadati; Pseudomonadota; Gammaproteobacteria; Legionellales; Legionellaceae.